This 437-nucleotide ribosomal RNA is filed under the name Pacifastacus connectens. RNAcentral describes it as "partial 16S ribosomal RNA". It matches the Rfam family "Bacterial large subunit ribosomal RNA", at positions 1854 to 2557 of the family's 2925-position model. The record is from RNAcentral. Lineage: Eukaryota; Metazoa; Arthropoda; Malacostraca; Decapoda; Astacidae.
UAACCUGCCCAUUGGGUUCUAAAAGGCCGCGGUAUUAUGACCGUGCAAAGGUAGCAUAAUCAUUAGUCUUUUAAUUGAAGGCUAGAAUGAAUGGUUGGACAAGAAAUAAUCUGUCUUAAGUUAAUAUAUUGAAUUUAACUUUUAAGUGAAAAGGCUUAAAUUUUCUAGAGUGACGAUAAGACCCUAUAAAACUUUAUAUUUAAAAAUAAUAAUUAGUUUUAUUUAAGAAUUUUAUUUAAAAAUAUUUUAUUGGGGUGAUAAAGAUAUAAAUUUAAAUAACUGUCUUCUUUUUUUACAAUAAUAUUUGAAUUAAUGAUCCUAAGAAAGGAGUAAAAGAUCAAGUUACUUUAGGGAUAACAGCGUAAUUUUUUUUAAGAGUUCAUAUCGACAAGAAAGUUUGCGACCUCGAUGUUGAAUUAAAAAAUCUUUAUAGAGCA